This 469-nucleotide ribosomal RNA is filed under the name uncultured bacterium. RNAcentral's name for it is "partial 16S ribosomal RNA". It matches the Rfam family "Bacterial small subunit ribosomal RNA", at positions 28 to 507 of the family's 1533-position model. The record is from RNAcentral.
GACGAACGCUGGCGGCGUGCUUAACACAUGCAAGUCGAACGGUGAACGAGGGAGCUUGCUCCCUCCGGAUCAGUGGCGAACGGGUGAGUAACACGUGAGCAAUCUGCCCCGAACUCUGGGAUAAGCGUUGGAAACGACGUCUAAUACCGGAUACGACGCGGGAGGCAUCCUCUCCGCGUGGAAAGAACUUCGGUUCGGGAUGAGCUCGCGGCCUAUCAGCUUGUUGGUGAGGUAACGGCUCACCAAGGCGACGACGGGUAGCCGGCCUGAGAGGGUGACCGGCCACACUGGGACUGAGACACGGCCCAGACUCCUACGGGAGGCAGCAGUGGGGAAUAUUGCACAAUGGGCGCAAGCCUGAUGCAGCAACGCCGCGUGAGGGACGACGGCCUUCGGGUUGUAAACCUCUUUUAGCAGGGAAGAAGCGAAAGUGACGGUACCUGCAGAAAAAGCACCGGCUAACUACGUG